Molecule: long non-coding RNA, 563 nt
Organism: Bombyx mori (domestic silkworm)
Lineage: Eukaryota; Metazoa; Arthropoda; Insecta; Lepidoptera; Bombycidae
Exons: 2
Source: RefSeq, a predicted model, not a curated record
GUUGUAUUGAUGUGCCUUUGGAAAACAUACAGCAUUGUAUUAUGAAGAAGCAGUGUGUACUUAGCUUAAAUUCCUUGUCUAUGUCCAACCAUAGACAGUCAAUUUAGUUCCAUCUUUAGCCGCUAGGUGCUGCCAGCAAGUAUUAAGGAAGCGCAGCCAUCUUUGAUCUUCAUAGUCUUCACCAGGAAGAACUUCCUGCAAUGCUGUAUGUUUUCCUUCUCGGCACAUAAUAUCGGUUUUAUUGUUAUGUAAAACCGUAAUAUUGAUGUGCCUUUGGAAAACAUACAGCAUUGUAUUAUGAAGACGUGUUUGUUAUCUGCUGGUGAAAUUAUUAAGCACAACGCUAUGAUGAAAUAGAAAGUCGACAGCGCUGCUUUAUGCAGAAGGAUUGUUUUACAGGCAAAAUUUUCUUUUUGGAAAAGAAAACAGAAUUUGGCAACAUCUGCAGACUUAGGAUCAAUUUUAAAACUGUAGCACCAUAUGCACCAUCUUCUAGUUGCUGGUAAGUAUGCUGGCAAAGUGGAUUGACACCAGCUAAUUUUCAAUAAAUCUUCUCCUGUGUA